This 468-nucleotide ribosomal RNA is filed under the name uncultured bacterium. Its description in RNAcentral is "partial 16S ribosomal RNA". It matches the Rfam family "Bacterial small subunit ribosomal RNA", at positions 28 to 507 of the family's 1533-position model. The record is from RNAcentral.
GACGAACGCUGGCGGCGUGCUUAACACAUGCAAGUCGAACGGAAAGGCCCUGCUUUUGUGGGGUGCUCGAGUGGCGAACGGGUGAGUAACACGUGAGUAACCUGCCCUUGACUUUGGGAUAACUUCAGGAAACUGGGGCUAAUACCGGAUAGGAGCUCCUGCUGCAUGGUGGGGGUUGGAAAGUUUCGGCGGUUGGGGAUGGACUCGCGGCUUAUCAGCUUGUUGGUGGGGUAGUGGCUUACCAAGGCUUUGACGGGUAGCCGGCCUGAGAGGGUGACCGGCCACAUUGGGACUGAGAAACGGCCCAGACUCCUACGGGAGGCAGCAGUGGGGAAUAUUGAAAAAUGGGCGGAAGCCUGAUGCAGCAACGCCGCGUGCGGGAUGACGGCCUUCGGGUUGUAAACCGCUUUCGCCUGUGACGAAGCGUGAGUGACGGUAAUGGGUAAAGAAGCACCGGCUAACUACGUG